CCUACGGGUGGCAGCAGUGGGGAAUAUUGGACAAUGGGCGAAAGCCUGAUCCAGCCAUGCCGCGUGUGUGAAGAAGGCCUUCGGGUUGUAAAGCACUUUCAGUGGGGAAGAAAGCCUUGGGGCUAAUACCCUCGAGGAAGGACAUCACCCACAGAAGAAGCACCGGCUAACUCCGUGCCAGCAGCCGCGGUAAUACGGAGGGUGCGAGCGUUAAUCGGAAUUACUGGGCGUAAAGCGCGCGUAGGCGGUCUGAUAAGCCGGUUGUGAAAGCCCCGGGCUCAACCUGGGAACGGCAUCCGGAACUGUCAGGCUAGAGUGCAGGAGAGGAAGGUAGAAUUCCCGGUGUAGCGGUGAAAUGCGUAGAGAUCGGGAGGAAUACCAGUGGCGAAGGCGGUCUUCUGGACUGACACUGACGCUGAGGUGCGAAAGCGUGGGUAGCAAACAGGAUUAGAUACCCUAGUAGUC
Molecule: ribosomal RNA, 465 nt
Filed under: Vreelandella stevensii
Lineage: Bacteria; Pseudomonadati; Pseudomonadota; Gammaproteobacteria; Oceanospirillales; Halomonadaceae
Description: partial 16S ribosomal RNA
Rfam family: Bacterial small subunit ribosomal RNA
Source: RNAcentral